UACGGAGGGUGCAAGCAUUAAUCGGAUUUAUUGGGCGUAAAGGGCGCGUAGGCGGGCUAGUAAGUCGAAUGUGAAAUACCAAAGCUCAACUUUGGGGCUGCAUUUGAAACUACUAGACUGGAGGAUUGGCGGAGAAAAUGGAAUUCCACGUGUAGCGGUGAAAUGCGUAGAUAUGUGGAAGAACACCUGUGGCGAAAGCGAUUUUCUAGCUUAUACCUGACGCUGAGGCGCGAGAGCAAGGGGAGCAAACAGG
RNAcentral lists this ribosomal RNA (253 nucleotides) under uncultured bacterium. Its description in RNAcentral is "partial 16S ribosomal RNA". It matches the Rfam family "Bacterial small subunit ribosomal RNA", at positions 524 to 776 of the family's 1533-position model. The record is from RNAcentral.